RNAcentral lists this ribosomal RNA (525 nucleotides) under uncultured eukaryote. RNAcentral describes it as "bacterial SSU rRNA". It matches the Rfam family "Eukaryotic small subunit ribosomal RNA", at positions 21 to 549 of the family's 1831-position model. The record is from RNAcentral.
UAGUCAUACGCUCGUCUAAAAGAUUAAGCCAUGCAUGUCUAAGUAUAAGCGAUUUAUACUGUGAAACUGCGGACGGCUCAUUAUAUCAGUUAUAGUUUAUUUGAUAGUAAUUCUACUACUUGGAUAACCGUAGUAAUUCUAGAGCUAAUACAUGCGUAAACACCCAACUCACGAAGGGUGGUAUUUAUUAGAUAUAAACCAAUUUGCUUUUGCAAUUUUGUGGUGAGUCAUAAUAACUUAGCGAAUCGCAGAGAUUUCGGUCGGCGAUGAAUCAUUCAAGUUUCUGCCCUAUCAGCUGUCGAUGGUAGUGUAUUGGACUACCAUGGCGUUCACGGGUAACGGAGUAUUAGGGUGCGACACCGGAGAGGGAGCCUGAGAGACGGCUACCACAUCUAAGGAAGGCAGCAGGCGCGUAAAUUACCCAAUCCUGACACGGGGAGGUAGUGACAAGAAAUAACAAUACGGGGCCCACCGGGUCUUGUACUUGGAAUGAGUACAACAUAAAUCCCAUAACGAGGAUCAAUU